This 1681-nucleotide unclassified non-coding RNA is filed under the name Sipha flava (yellow sugarcane aphid). RNAcentral's name for it is "cellular tumor antigen p53-like, transcript variant X4". Lineage: Eukaryota; Metazoa; Arthropoda; Insecta; Hemiptera; Aphididae. The record is from RNAcentral.
UGGAACAAUCCCCUACAAUCCUUAGAAGCUUUAACAUGUCUUAUCGUCAAACUUGUUUCGACUUGAAAUUGCAUGUCAGUACAUGCUUUGCGAAUAUUUCGACUUGCUUAUUCAAACGACUGUUAACCAUUACGAUAAAACUAAUUCAAGACUAUAGAACGGUGUGCUACAUCAUUAAUCAAUUAAAUGGAUGCCAGUAAGUGUGAAAAGUCAGAAUUAAUGGAGGUUAUGGAUAGUGAAGACCCGAAUGCGAAUUGUGAAACUGAAUCACCAUCUGUAAGUGAAGACUCUGAGUCUUGUUAUGAACAUCUUAAACCAACUGGUGUGCAAAUUGGUACUGAUGAUUUUUCAGGAGAAUUCAACUUUGAUUUUUUUUUGGAUCCAACAGAAGUUACAAAAAGGCAUUGGAUGUAUUCUGAAAAAUUAAAUAAAAUAUUUUUGGAUAUGAAUAGAGUUGUACCGAUCCAGUUCCAUUGGAAUUUUUAUGAAACUGAGUUGUUAGGAAUGAAAAAUCUUCAAAUACGUGCUUUACUUAUUUUUGCAACUCCUGAAUUUGAACAAUUGUCCAUCAAACGAUGUCCUAUACACAUUAUACAAGAUAAAUUUUGUGAUAAAAAAAAAAUUGAACAUAUUUUAUGGUGUGAACAAUAUGACAGUAUUUAUGAAGAAGAUCCCAAAAGUCAAAGAUACAGUGUUGUUGUUCAAAUGCACGAUUGUUUUCCCUAUUCAGAAUAUAAGACUUAUAAUAUUAUGUAUAAAUUUAUGUGCAAGUCAAGUUGUUCUAUGAGUCUCAACCGAAGACCAAUUAAUGUUAUCUUUACUCUUGAAACAUCGCAAGGACAAGUAUUGGGAAGAAAAAAAAUUGGUGUAAAGAUAUGCAGUUGUCCAAAAAGGGACAGUAUGAAGGAAGAAGCAUUAGAAAAAAAAAAAACAAUAAAUUCAAUAAAAAUGUUUAAAAAACGUACUUCACAAAUUAGUAAUAAUGAUACUCCAAAGAAAAUGCCCAAAACCAACAAUGAUAAUGAAGAAAAUAAAAGUUAUGAGCUUCCUUUAUUAGCUAUUCCAACUAAAAAGUUAUAUAUUAGUACAUUGGAACUGUUACAUGGGCAUUUUUUGGGAAAUGCAGUCCGUGAAAAUAUGUUAAUUGACUCACAUCCUUUGAUUAGUAUGCUUGCUGAUUUAAUAUCUCAAGUAAAGUCUGAAAGUAAUAAUUAUCUGGUUGUGUAAAAUCUACAAAUACAUUGCAAGUCAUAUUGGGUCGACAACAAGAUAAAGGAGCCACUGAUAUAAAUAAUUUAUUAUUGUUUUAGAAAAUGAUGAUAAAACCAUCGGUGAUACCCAAGCUGUUUGGAACCAAUCAUUACUUUGGGAAACACCACAGCAGUAAUAAUGUUGUUGAAAUUGAUUCCAAAAUAUUCUCCAUACGGUAUUUGUUGAAUAUUUGCCAAGACCAGCAUGUAAGAAAUUUUUUACUUCUGAGGAAACGUCUUUUAGAGUAUUUUGUAAAGUGUUGCAGUAAUAAAUGAGAACUAUUGUUUCUAUUGCAGUUAUCACCAUAAAUGAUUUUAGCUUCAGAUUUCUUUUUGUUGAUGUAAUACUUCUAAGACAAGUCAUUUAUCUUUGUAUUAUAUUUAUUUCAAAUUAAUUUGUUAAUAAAUACAAGAAUAUUUUUGAAUUUUAA